CCUACGGGGGGCAGCAGUGAGGAAUAUUGGUCAAUGGCCGGAAGGCUGAACCAGCCAUGCCGCGUGAAGGUCAGUGCCCUAUGGGCGUUAAACUUCUUUUGUGCGGGAGCAAUAAUGGUCACGUGUGGCCAGACGAGAGUACCGUACGAAUAAGCAUCGGCUAACUCCGUGCCAGCAGCCGCGGUAAUACGGGGGAUGCAAGCGUUAUCCGGAUUUAUUGGGUUUAAAGGGUGCGUAGGCUGUGAGGUAAGUCAGCGGUGAAAUGCCCACGCUCAACGGGGUGAAGUGCCAUUGAUACUGCCUGGCUGGAAUGCGGAUGCCGUGGGAGGAAUGUGUGGUGUAGCGGUGAAAUGCAUAGAUAUCACACAGAACACCGAUUGCGAAGGCAUCUCACGAAGCCGCGAUUGACGCUGAUGCACGAAAGCGUGGGUAUCAAACAGGAUUAGAUACCCUAGUAGUC
This 460-nucleotide ribosomal RNA is filed under the name uncultured bacterium. RNAcentral describes it as "partial 16S ribosomal RNA". It matches the Rfam family "Bacterial small subunit ribosomal RNA", at positions 338 to 795 of the family's 1533-position model. The record is from RNAcentral.